Molecule: ribosomal RNA, 451 nt
Filed under: uncultured bacterium
Lineage: Bacteria
Description: partial 16S ribosomal RNA
Rfam family: Bacterial small subunit ribosomal RNA
Source: RNAcentral
GUGGGGAAUAUUGGACAAUGGGGGGAACCCUGAUCCAGCCAUGCCGCGUGUGUGAAGAAGGCCUUUUGGUUGUAAAGCACUUUAAGCGAGGAGGAGGCUACCGAGAUUAAUACUCUUGGAUAGUGGACGUUACUCGCAGAAUAAGCACCGGCUAACUCUGUGCCAGCAGCCGCGGUAAUACAGAGGGUGCAAGCGUUAAUCGGAUUUACUGGGCGUAAAGCGCGCGUAGGUGGCCAAUUAAGUCAAAUGUGAAAUCCCCGAGCUUAACUUGGGAAUUGCAUUCGAUACUGGUUGGCUAGAGUAUGGGAGAGGAUGGUAGAAUUCCAGGUGUAGCGGUGAAAUGCGUAGAGAUCUGGAGGAAUACCGAUGGCGAAGGCAGCCAUCUGGCCUAAUACUGACACUGGGGUGCGAAAGCAUGGGGAGCAAACAGGAUUAGAAACCCCAGUAGUCC